AUACGGAGGAUCCGAGCGUUAUCCGGAUUUAUUGGGUUUAAAGGGUGCGCAGGCGGCCAUUUAAGUCAGCGGUUAAAUCGUGGGGCUCAACCCCAUUCUGCCGUUGAUACUGGGUGGCUUGAUUGCGGUCGAGGUUGGCGGAAUUCGUUGUGUAGCGGUGAAAUGCAUAGAUAUGACGAAGAACACCGAUUGCGUAGGCAGCUGACCAGACCGCAAAUGACGCUCAUGCACGAAAGUGCGGGGAUCGAACAGGAUUAGAUACCCUGGUAGUCCGCACAGUAAACGAUGAAUACUUGUUUUCGGCGAUAUAAUGUCGGAGGCAAAUCGAAAGCGAUAAGUAUUCCACCUGGGGAGUACGCCGGCAACGGUGAAACUUAAAGGAAUUGACGGGG
This 392-nucleotide ribosomal RNA is filed under the name uncultured bacterium. RNAcentral describes it as "partial 16S ribosomal RNA". It matches the Rfam family "Bacterial small subunit ribosomal RNA", at positions 523 to 918 of the family's 1533-position model. The record is from RNAcentral.